GCCGGUGUAGCUCAACUGGUAGAGCGGCGCUCUUGUAAGGCGACGGUUGGAGGUUCGAGUCCUCUCACCGGCU
This 73-nucleotide transfer RNA is filed under the name Thermoleophilia bacterium. RNAcentral's name for it is "tRNA-Thr". It matches the Rfam family "tRNA". From Rfam's summary of the family: Transfer RNA (tRNA) molecules are approximately 80 nucleotides in length. The record is from RNAcentral. Lineage: Bacteria; Bacillati; Actinomycetota; Thermoleophilia.